RNAcentral lists this ribosomal RNA (253 nucleotides) under uncultured bacterium. Its description in RNAcentral is "partial 16S ribosomal RNA". It matches the Rfam family "Bacterial small subunit ribosomal RNA", at positions 524 to 776 of the family's 1533-position model. The record is from RNAcentral.
UACGUAGGGUGCAAGCGUUGUCCGGAAUUAUUGGGCGUAAAGAGCUCGUAGGCGGUCUGUCGCGUCUGCUGUGAAAACUCGGGGCUUAACCCCGGGCCUGCAGUGGGUACGGGCAGACUAGAGUGCGGUAGGGGAGACUGGAAUUCCUGGUGUAGCGGUGAAAUGCGCAGAUAUCAGGAGGAACACCAGCGGCGAAGGCGCUGCUCUGGGCCGGUACUGACGCUGAGGAGCGAAAGCGUGGGGAGCGAACAGG